ACAAUGGAGAGUUUGAUCCUGGCUCAGGACGAACGCUGGCGGCGUGCUUAACACAUGCAAGUCAAGGAGAACGUAUUCUUCGGAAUACUAUUAAACUGGCGAACGGGUGAGUAACGCGUAGGCAACCUGCCCUAGAGACGGGGAUAACUUCGGGAAACCGGGGCUAAUACCGGAUAAUGCAGCGGAUCCUUCGGGAUACAGUUGUUAAAGCGGGCUUCGGCUCGCACUUUAGGAUGGGCCUGCGUCCGAUUAGCUUGUUGGUAAGGUAAUGGCUUACCAAGGCGAUGAUCGGUAGCUGGUCUGAGAGGAUGAUCAGCCACACUGGGAUUGAGAUACGGCCCAGACUCCUACGGGAGGCAGCAGUGGGGAAUUUUGCGCAAUGGGGGAAACCCUGACGCAGCAACGCCGCGUGACCGAUGAAGCUUCUAGGAGCGUAAAGGUCUGUCGUAAGGGAAGAAAAGUUUGGAUGUAAAUAAUGUUUGAACCUGACGGUACCUUACAAGAAAGCACCGGC
Molecule: ribosomal RNA, 514 nt
Filed under: Fidelibacterota bacterium
Lineage: Bacteria; Pseudomonadati; Fidelibacterota
Description: bacterial SSU rRNA
Rfam family: Bacterial small subunit ribosomal RNA
Source: RNAcentral